This 1320-nucleotide ribosomal RNA is filed under the name Triticum aestivum (bread wheat). RNAcentral's name for it is "partial small subunit ribosomal RNA". The record is from RNAcentral. Lineage: Eukaryota; Viridiplantae; Streptophyta; Magnoliopsida; Poales; Poaceae.
AUGCCGGGGCCGGGUAGCCAGAACGGACGGGCGACGCCGCUCAAGUCCGAGAACAUCCACGGGCUCGUGCGCGCUGGCGACGUGGCGGCCGUCCAGAGGAAGCUGCAGGAGAACCCUGCCCUCCUCAACGACAAGAAUCCUGUGAUGUGCCAAACACCACUUCAUGUCGCAGCUGGAUACAAUAAUACUGAUAUAGUGAAAUUCCUUCUUGAUUGGCAAGGGCAAGGUGCAGAUAUGGUUGAGGUGGAGGCAAAGAACAUGUACGGAGAGACACCCCUGCAUAUGGCAGUAAAAAAUAGUUCUUAUGAAUCAGCAAAAUUGCUCCUUGAACAUGGUGUACAUACAGGAGCCAAAACAAAUAAUGGCAUGUCACCAUUGCAUUUAGCUGUCUGGCAUGCACUUCAAACUGGAGAUUGCAGCACCGUCAAUUUGUUGCUAAGCUAUAAUGCAGAUUGCAAUGCUAAAGAUGAUGAAGGCAAAAUCCCCUUAAAUCAUAUCCCAGGAGGAGCUGGCAAUGAGAUGCUGCUCCAGCUCCUCAUUCGCCAUAUGGAAGAACAAAGAAAACAAAAAGCCCUCAUGACAUGUCAUGAACAACGGUCAAUGGCGGAGUUUGAAGAAGCAAUAUCACAAAUCGUGGGGUUGCAAGAGCUGAAAAUGCAAUUACGUCGAUGGGCCAGGGGAAUGCUUUUUGAUGAAAAACGCCGGGCUAUGGGCUUAGGGAUACCAGAAGAGCUCCCCACAUGGCAUUUCUGGGCAAUCCAGGAACAGAUAAAAGAUGCCGAGGGAGGGAUUCUGUUUGUGGAUGAAGCUUACAGGUUGAUACCAACGCAAAAAUCGGAUGAUAAGGAUUAUGGUUUGGAGGCACUGGAGGAGAUAAUGUCUGUAAUGGACAGUGGCAAAGUAGUUGUCAUAUUUGCUGGGUACUGCGAGCAAAUGAAGCGUGUCAUUGCCUCGAACGACGGUUUCUGUAGGAGGGUCACGAUGUUCUUUGAUUUUGAUGAUUUCACCACGACAGAAUUAGCGGAGAUAUUGCUUCUGAAGAUGAAUAGCCUGACUGACACAAGUUUGCUUUACGGGUUCAGGCUGCACCGGAGCUGCACCAGAGGUGCCGUUGGAGAGCUGAUUGCCAGGGAGACCACUGAGGAGUGGCUUAAACAGAUGAACGGAGGUCUGGUAGACACACUGCUUGUCAAUGCACGUGAAAACUUGGAUCUUCGUCUUGAUUUCAGUUGCAAUGACGCUGAGACCAUGAUCACAAUCACAUUGGAAGACCUGGAAGCAGGCCUAAGGCAGAUAUCAAGACAGAGACAUUUGUGGUGA